AACUGGUCUGUGAUUUAGGUAGUUUCCUGUUGUUGGGGCUCCACCUUUCUCUCGACAGCACGAUACUGCCUUCAUUACUUCAGUUG
Molecule: microRNA precursor, 86 nt
Organism: Monodelphis domestica (gray short-tailed opossum)
Lineage: Eukaryota; Metazoa; Chordata; Mammalia; Didelphimorphia; Didelphidae
Gene: mdo-mir-196b
Product: mdo-mir-196b
Source: Ensembl